Long non-coding RNA from Dermacentor silvarum, 295 nucleotides. RefSeq lists it as uncharacterized. NCBI's taxonomy places the organism in Eukaryota, Metazoa, Arthropoda, Arachnida, Ixodida, Ixodidae. The record is from RefSeq and is a predicted model, not a curated record. The transcript has 3 exons.
UUCAUAAGGAGGCUGUCAGUGGCAAGAAAGGUCCGGAAGCACCGGGCAAGGAAAAGUGCUGUAUUAGUUGUGUCGCCGGCACCCCGAGCAACUAUCACAAAUGAGAACGCUGCUUCUGAACUACAGGCCCUAAGCUCUUCAAGUAUGAGUGCUGCAUCACUUGAUAUGCAAAGAAUGAGAAUCCUGCUGACGGUGACGCUCCCAGACCGCCGCAAUACACACAUGGACCCUCUCCCACAGUACUUUUUGGUGGAGGAAAUACUGUGCAUUGAGGUGGAACUUCGGUUUGGAUCGA